RNAcentral lists this ribosomal RNA (249 nucleotides) under uncultured cyanobacterium. RNAcentral describes it as "partial 16S ribosomal RNA". It matches the Rfam family "Bacterial small subunit ribosomal RNA", at positions 866 to 1114 of the family's 1533-position model. Lineage: Bacteria; Bacillati; Cyanobacteriota. The record is from RNAcentral.
GUUCCGCCUGGGGAGUACGCACGCAAGUGUGAAACUCAAAGGAAUUGACGGGGGCCCGCACAAGCGGUGGAGUAUGUGGUUUAAUUCGAUGCAACGCGAAGAACCUUACCAGGGCUUGACAUCCUGCGAACCUCUGGGAAACCGGAGGGUGCCUUCGGGAGCGCAGAGACAGGUGGUGCAUGGCUGUCGUCAGCUCGUGUCGUGAGAUGUUGGGUUAAGUCCCGCAACGAGCGCAACCCACGCCGUUAG